GAAAAAGAAUUAAAAAAAAAGGUGAAAACAGUUCCCUCAGGAGAUCAAAAGAAUAAGGUUUCAUCAAUAUACCUCAGAAUUAGCAUGGUAAAAGAUAAUCAUCACUGGGAACAAUACCCCUAAAUCAAACGAAAAUCUAAACC
Telopea speciosissima is the source of this 143-nucleotide long non-coding RNA. RefSeq lists it as uncharacterized. The transcript is spliced from 4 exons. NCBI's taxonomy places the organism in Eukaryota, Viridiplantae, Streptophyta, Magnoliopsida, Proteales, Proteaceae. The record is from RefSeq and is a predicted model, not a curated record.